GGGCCGUUAGCUCAGUCGGUAGAGCAGCUGGCUUUUAACCAGUUUGUCGCAAGUUCGAUUCUUGCACGGCCCACCA
Molecule: transfer RNA, 76 nt
Filed under: Gammaproteobacteria bacterium
Lineage: Bacteria; Pseudomonadati; Pseudomonadota; Gammaproteobacteria
Description: tRNA-Lys
Rfam family: tRNA
About the family: Transfer RNA (tRNA) molecules are approximately 80 nucleotides in length. Their secondary structure includes four short double-helical elements and three loops (D, anti-codon, and T loops).
Source: RNAcentral